RNAcentral lists this ribosomal RNA (448 nucleotides) under uncultured bacterium. RNAcentral's name for it is "bacterial SSU rRNA". It matches the Rfam family "Bacterial small subunit ribosomal RNA", at positions 330 to 794 of the family's 1533-position model. The record is from RNAcentral.
UCCAGACUCCUACGGGAGGCAGCAGUGGGGGAUAUUGCACAAUGGGGGGAACCCUGAUGCAGCGACGCCGCGUGGGUGAAGGAGCGUUUCGGCGCGUAAAGCCCUAUCGGCAGGGAAGAAGGAGGACGGUACCUGACUAAGAAGCCCCGGCUAACUACGUGCCAGCAGCCGCGGGAAUACGUAGGGGGCAAGCGUUAUCCGGAUUUACUGGGUGUAAAGGGAGCGUAGACGGUCCUGCAAGCCAGAUGUGAAAGCCCGGGGCUCAACCCCGGGACUGCAUUUGGAACUGUAAGGCUAGAGUGUCGGAGAGGCAGGCGGAAUUCCUAGUGUAGCGGUGAAAUGCGUAGAUAUUAGGAGGAACACCAGUGGCGAAGGCGGCCUGCUGGACGAUGACUGACGUUGAGGCUCGAAAGCGUGGGGAGCAAACAGGAUUAGAUACCCGAGUAGU